Molecule: long non-coding RNA, 349 nt
Organism: Triticum aestivum (bread wheat)
Lineage: Eukaryota; Viridiplantae; Streptophyta; Magnoliopsida; Poales; Poaceae
Exons: 3
Source: RefSeq, a predicted model, not a curated record
CUGCUACUCCGGCGACAAGCGCACAAGCUUUUGGGUCCAUGGCGCCACCGGUAAACAAGAACAACUCUGGGUGCUUGAUUCUGUCUCUGGAUAAGUGAAAAUAGAUGGCAGCGAAGUUGAACUGGUUUUGCAAACACUAGCAAGUAUUUCUUCAUCGCUUCCAUCGUGCAAGUUGCGCUAGCAUUGCGGGCAUUUUUCUUCAUAUUUGGGAAGAGGGGAUGAGGUUGAAAAAUGAAGCUGGUGAUGAAAAGAAUGGAGGGCACCCGCAAAGUGAUGACGAGGAAGGAGCCGUGCAGGAGACAGCUUUCAGAGCUUGAAGAAGAUGGUUUCACAUCCACGUUGAUCUAUG